GGCUUUCACUAGUACGAGAGGACUGUGAAGGACGGACCUCUAGUGUGCCGGUUGUCGCGCCAGCGGCAGUGCCGGGUAGCUAUGUCCGGUGGCGAUAAUCGCUGAAAGCAUCUAAGCGAGAAGCGUGCCUCAAGAUAAGCUCUCCCGGGGCGUAUGCCCCCUAAAGACCACUCGUAGACGACGAGUUUGAUAGGCUGGGUGUGGAAGGCGUGUGAGCGCUGUAGCUAACCAGUACUAAUCGGUCGUGCGGUUUAACAUC
Molecule: non-coding RNA, 259 nt
Filed under: Nitrospira sp. SG-bin1
Lineage: Bacteria; Pseudomonadati; Nitrospirota; Nitrospiria; Nitrospirales; Nitrospiraceae
Description: partial 23S ribosomal RNA
Rfam family: Bacterial large subunit ribosomal RNA
Source: RNAcentral